UCCUUCAGUCUCUGCUGUACACAUUGUC
RNAcentral lists this non-coding RNA (28 nucleotides) under Mus musculus (house mouse). Lineage: Eukaryota; Metazoa; Chordata; Mammalia; Rodentia; Muridae. The record is from RNAcentral.